Molecule: RNA transcript, 6083 nt
Organism: Colius striatus (speckled mousebird)
Lineage: Eukaryota; Metazoa; Chordata; Aves; Coliiformes; Coliidae
Gene: CDK14
Gene name: cyclin dependent kinase 14
Exons: 16
Source: RefSeq, a predicted model, not a curated record
CUGCCAUCACGGGUAGAGCCGGGUCACACCGGCUGUCUCCCCCCGGCCGCCUCCCCGUGGCCACGGCGCGGGGCUUCCCUGCCCUCUCAGGCUCCUCCUCCUUUCUCUCAGCGCACCCUCCCUCCUUCACUCCCGCCCUCCGCCGGUGCUCGCAGCCCCUCCGCCAGACUUUCCUUUCACUCCUCCAUAGCUCCUCGGCGCUGCUCUUCCUCCUGUCGUCCGCUCCACCGCGUCUGGCUCUGCCUGGUAGCCCGGGGAAGGGCAGCGGGACGAGGCUAUGAGCCGGGUGGUGGGGGCGAGGAGCGGAGCAGCGGUCGCCGUCGCGGUGUAGGGCUCCUUCCCCUGUCGGGACCGGGGCCGCGGCUGGCCCCGGGGCAAGGGAGGAGCCCCGGAGCCGGAGCGGUGGUGUUUCCCCCGGAUCUGAGGGAGCGGGGGUGGCGGCUGGUGAGCGGGGGAUUGUCUCCCCCGCCCCAGUGGUGACAUGAUCGACUCGCAAUCCGCCGAGAAGAUCAGCAGAAUGAAAAAGUUGCGGAGAACUUUAUCGGAGAGCUUCGGCCGAAUAGCCUUGAAGAAAGAAGAUAGCAGCUUUGAUGAGAUAUGUGUCACAAAGAUGUCUACACGGAACUGCCAGGGAAUGGAUUCAGUGAUCAAACCUCUCGAUACAAUUCCUGAGGACAAAAAAGUCCGGGUUCAGAGGACACAGAGUAGUUUUGAUCCAUUUGAGAAGCCAACUAAUCAAGUGAAGAGGGUGCAUUCAGAGAACAAUGCUUGCAUUAACUUCAAAACUUCAUCUACAGGGAAGGAAUCACCUAAAGUCAGGCGGCACUCCAGCCCCAGCUCUCCUACAAGCCCCAAGUUUGGAAAAGCAGAUUCAUAUGAAAAACUGGAGAAAUUAGGGGAAGGGUCCUAUGCUACAGUAUACAAAGGGAAAAGCAAGGUAAAUGGAAAACUGGUGGCAUUGAAAGUGAUUAGAUUACAAGAAGAGGAAGGAACCCCAUUUACUGCCAUCAGGGAAGCUUCUCUUCUGAAAGGAUUGAAACAUGCUAACAUUGUGCUACUUCAUGACAUCAUUCACACCAAGGAGACCUUGACCCUUGUGUUUGAAUAUGUGCACACUGAUUUAUGUCAGUACAUGGACAAACACCCUGGGGGGGUUCAUCCAGAGAAUGUGAAGUUAUUUUUAUUUCAGUUGCUGCGAGGACUGUCUUACAUCCACCAGCGUUACAUUUUGCACAGGGACCUGAAACCACAGAAUCUUCUGAUCAGUGACACGGGGGAGUUAAAGCUGGCAGACUUUGGUCUUGCAAGAGCUAAAUCUGUUCCUAGCCAUACAUAUUCCAAUGAGGUGGUAACUCUGUGGUACAGGCCUCCAGAUGUCCUUCUGGGAUCAACAGAAUAUUCUACCUGCCUUGACAUGUGGGGAGUGGGUUGUAUCUUUAUAGAAAUGAUUCAAGGGGUUGCUGCUUUUCCAGGAAUGAAAGACAUUCAAGAUCAACUUGAAAGGAUAUUUCUGGUACUUGGGACACCAAAUGAAGAAACAUGGCCUGGAGUCCACUCUUUACCCCAUUUCAAACCAGAACGGUUUACACAGUACAGCCCUAAAAACCUUAGACAAGCAUGGAAUAAGCUGAGCUAUGUGACUCACGCAGAAGACCUAGCCUCCAAACUACUCCAGUGUUUUCCAAAGAACAGAUUAUCAGCGCAGGCAGCCCUGAGCCACGAGUAUUUCAGUGAUCUGCCUCCACGGCUAUGGGAGUUAACUGAUAUGUCUUCUAUUUUUACUGUACCAAAUGUAAGAUUACAGCCAGAGACUGGAGAAAGCAUGAGAGUCUUUGGAAAAAACAGUUGUUAUGGCAAAGGUGUAUCAAACAGCAAACAUUGAAGGAUACCUGUGUUCACAACUGAUAAUACGGCUUUUGUCCAUUACCCCUUGUCCUGUCACUGGAGACUACAGAAUAAAGUGUCACCCCAUCCUCUUGACAUACGCCAUUUAAAUACUUGACUAAAUUUACCAGUUUGAAGGAGGGAAACACAAACAUAAUGAGGAGGCUGACACCAGGAAGGAGUCACGGCCUGUUUUCCUUUCUUUCUCUACAGUGGACUUCAUUCAAAAGAAAACUGAAGCUGGCAAGACACUGUUUUUUCCCUGCAAUUUAUUUAAAACCUUGCACGUAUUUGGAUACCUUGUGAUUUCAGAGAACUAUGUAAAGACUAAGCUUUUGCUUACUGAUAGAUGGCAUGUACUCUUUCAGUCUUUUGUGUAUGAUUUUGUUUGAUUCUCCACUGCAGCGCUGCAUCUUUGUAAGCAUUUUUAUGCUUUCACCAGCAAUGUCUUAAAUACAUUAAGACAACACAUUUGGCAUUCACACUUCUUCAGUAACGACUUUACACAGAAAAAAGCCAAUGGUGGUUUGAGGGACUGUGUGUUUUCUUUGAAAGUUGUGCAUAUUUUGCAACCAAUGGAAAAGCUUUCUGCCAGAGCAAGCCCAACUUGUCUGAUCAGUUGACAAUUACAACACCUUGCCACUAUUCCUAAAGUGUUCUUGGCUUAUUUCUUUUUUCAUUAUCUCUUCAGACCAUUCAGAUACAUUCUAAAAACAUGGCAAUAAUUGCAUGUUUACUUCAGUACUCUGAAUUUGGUUACUCUGAUUAGGCUAUGUAGCAUGCCCCUUUUCAAAAUAUGCCUGUAAGAAAGACAAAACAAAAAUUAUGAGAUGUGUGCAGCUGACAUAUACAGUGAAUUCUUUAUGGUUUUAUUCCCUUUGGGAAUACUUUUUUUUUUUUUAAUGGGUCUUGGCUAACAUCUCUGUGUUUUUCCUCACCCUAUUUACCUUUUGGAAUGUUUUCUUGAAAACAGAAAUGAUAAAACUGUUUUGUUUAAUUCAAGGCAGAUACUAAGGUACAGAAAACCUUUUCUUGAACAAGCCAUUAAAUCUUGCUCUGAUACUUUGCCACAUGCAAAGCAAAGUGGAGAAUUUUCCUUUUCCCAAACUAUCUGCUGUUCCACACCAAAGCACCCAUCAAGUUAUUUUCCAUAGGUAUUCCAAGCUGAUUGGAAGGCAGUAACAGAUGCUCUGUCUUUAGAUAGCUUUUCUGAAUUAAUCAUUCAAAUGCCAAGAAACUAAGUUGUAUGAUUUUAGAGAAGGAAGCCCGAUACAUUUAGGAACUCUUGCUAGGCAAUAUUAUUCUGCACAUAAAUUUGACAUCCUUUGUUUGCUGGAUGCAUUGAAUUACAUUUUUAAGAAGUGUGUUAACACUUUGGUUAACUUUCAGUGUUUAAAAGGAGAGGAAAAGGAUUUGUGCUACUGCCAUCUUAUUAAACUCCAGCAGUGUUUAAUAAGAAAAAAAACUCAAUAAGACAAAUCCUUGAAUGCACAAGUAGCUACGAAAGGCCUCUUAAUGAACUAGGAUAUGAGUCUACGCUGUCAAAGAACUGAACCAUGGAAAUACUCUCAAGCCAUUAAAAGACAGUUUUCCCCCAUGACACCUCUCUUUUGGGAUCUGGUAAAAGCCAUCUGAAACCCACUUUCAGUCACAAUCCUAUUUAGAUCUUACUGCAGUUUUUCCCCUUGUGUUUAUGAGGGGGAAAAAGUGACCACAGAACUUUUGAAUUUAUCACACACUGAAACUGCCUUAGACGUGGUUUGUUUGGGUUUCACGUUUCUUUCUUUUGUAAGAGAAAAGUCUUUUAUACAUUAUCUUUGCUACUUAAAUUGUGUGCAGUUUGAUGAUUAAAAUUAGCUAUUUUUAGAAAAAAAACUUGCUGCAAAAGUCUGAAGAGCUUUUGGAAAUAUAAUUAGGAAUAUAAGGGUAGUCUCAUAGAUGCUUCUAUUUGGCAGCUUAAAUUGGGAGGCAAGCAAUUACACUGCUCAACUAAACAUCUGAAGGUUUAAUAUAGAAUAAUUCCCCAACUGUUCCCACAAGCCAAGCACAUUACUAUCCACAGUGACUCAUGUACAGUGUUUGCUUAAGGGGGGGGGGUGUGUGUGUGUGUGUGUGUGUGUGUGUGUGUGUGUGUACACAAGUGCAUGUGAGAUUAUCUUCUCUGCCCCAUUAACACUUUUAAGAAACCACUGAAAUAAAGUCGAUCCAAAUAUCUUUGAACUCAAUUGCCUGAAGGAAAGUGCAUAAAUAUCUAGAUUCCUAAAUACUAAACUUGAUUUUAGCAGUAGCGAGGUUAUGAGCUGCUGAUCAAUGAAGGAGUGACCAGGAACUCUUACUUACUUCCUCGGCACCCCAGUUGCCAGUAGUGCCUUGGGUUUGCUGCUCUCCUGCAGAGGCUCUAGGCCCUGGGGAUGUUCUGCCGGCACCAAGGGGACUCAGGUUUAGCAAGAAGGUACUGUUCACAUGAGCACUGCAAAUUAUUCUUCUGGGCCAUCAGAUCUGUUGGGAAGUGUCAAGGUUUUUUUGAGAAAGUAGAAGCUCCUUUGUCCAGGGAACUGAUGGUAUAGCCUUAUUUCCCUCUUCUUCCUUCCAUCAGAGCCCUUACCUGCAUGGCUAGCCCAAUUGACACCCAUGUGUUAGGACCCCCUGACAGCCAGCCCACCUCUCCAGCAUCUUGCAGAAGUGGGGUUUUCACCACAACUCUUCUCAGUGUUGCAGAAUGGACUGUUUAAACCCCAUCAGUGCUCUCGAGACAGCUUCAACGAGGAUGAGUUACCAUCUUGUUCUCUCAUCCUUCCCAAAUUGGUUCCCUGCAGAAUCUUUAAAGGGACAAGAAGAAGUAGCCUCACCUUCCAGGUGUGCUGCAGGUGCCAGUAAUGUUCCCUGCGAUCAACUGUCAAAAGCUGGCCUAGGUGACCAGUAGUCUCUGGGGCACAGUCCUUGAGAAACUGUGGGACUCACUCAGAGUCAAUAGCUGGCAGCAGCAUCACUUUCAUUUUCCUGUUGCUUGUCUGAGCCCCAGUAGAUCCUUCCUGAUGAUACUUAGAGGAUGUGGCUUUGCUGUGAGAGGGGAGAGCAGCCACAGAGCAAGAAGUGUACUAGGCAGAUAAUAGUGGGAGGACAAGUUUUAACUGCAUGAGAUCUAAUAUUGAGUGAAUGGAGAAGGGCAGAUGGUGAUAGAGACGGUCUACACAAUACAGAGAUGCCCUACAAGUUCAAGUCCACAAAACCUGACUUCGUAAGUCAAUCAGCUGGAGAUGACUUUGUCCUCACUCCUGCUAGAUUAAGAUCAGAUGAGGAUUAGAUCAGGUCUAAUCUUCACCCAGCAGGCACCUCACCAGUCAAGACACUCCAAUAGUGCCAACAUUACAUUACCACAUGAUGCCUCAGACUGGUUGGAUCCUUUUAGUUCUUAUUGUUUUUAAUCCGAAGCAUGGUUUAGGUGAAGUUGUCAGUACAUGUGGCACUGAAAAUUCAGUCUGCAGUAGACUGAGGCACAGGCAUUUUCACUUUCUCUUUAGUGUGCAGGAGUUCUGUGCUUCAGACUCCUGGAGGGAGAAGGGAGGGUCAGCGAGUGACGUGCACUCCUGUGUGCUCAGUGUCAGUGCACGCAACCGAAUGUGUAGUCAGUGCUCUGAUAUGCUCAUAUGCAAAAUACUCAUCUGUGAAUAUUAUUGGGUAUGUAAUCUUUGUUAGAUAAAAUGUUUAGGCUGUACAGACUGGGGAGCAAAAUGCAGACAUCAUAUAAACAGAAUUACAUUAAUCAGCAUAACAAUACUCUCCCCUACCAGCAUUAGGUGGAGUGACUAUGUUACUGCCUUGCAUUUUCACACAAGCAAAAAAUCUAAAGGUAAAGGAUGCACUAAUAAUUCCCAUCCCUGAAAAUGCAUUUCAGUGGUGCUGCAUACAAAAUCCCUGCUUGCCAGCUUCCACGUGAAUUUUUGUAUGGUGCAGUAAGGGGUGUUCUUUUUUUAAAAAAAAGGGGAGGACUGGUACAUGAAAACAAUGUUAAUGUAAUUAUAUAUAUAUAGCUAUAUAUAUAUAUAUAUACACACACUUCAGAAGAACAGCAUAGUAAGCAGUACAAUAAAAUAAAUGACACAUUAUUUGUUACACCUUGUAAUUUGUCUGUAUUAUGAAAGAUGUAAUGGUUUGUCAGCUGUAACUGUUGUUUUCUUGUAACAUCAUAUUGAAUAAAG